GAUCCUGACUCAGGAUGAACGCUAGCUACAGGCUUAACACAUGCAAGUCGAGGGGAAACGAUAUUGGAAGCUUGCUUCCGAUAGGCGUCGACCGGCGCACGGGUGAGUAACGCGUAUCCAACCUGCCCCACCACUUGGGGAUAACCUUGGCGAAAGUAAGACUAAUACCCAAUGAUAUCUCUAGAAGACAUCUGAAAGAGAUUAAAGAUUCAUACGGUGAUGGAUGGGGAUGCGU
This 235-nucleotide ribosomal RNA is filed under the name uncultured bacterium. RNAcentral's name for it is "partial 16S ribosomal RNA". It matches the Rfam family "Bacterial small subunit ribosomal RNA", at positions 15 to 236 of the family's 1533-position model. The record is from RNAcentral.